UUUUUUUUUUUUUUUUUUUUUUUUUUACAUUUGCUCUUCUUAAAACACAGAUCUGAUCAUGUGCCUCCUUUGCUGCAAACUAUUUAAUAACUCCCUAUGGCUUUUAGGAUCAAGAGCAAAUUCCUUAGUGGGGUAUUCAACAUCCUUCAUAAUCUGGUCAUCCUCUACUCUGGCAAGCACAUAUCUCAUAGUCCGGCUACACUUAAUUCUUCAUGAGCUUUGCUUAACUUCUUCCUCUCUCCCUUGGCGCCCUGAUUUGCCCACCUCCCCGUUCCCCAGAAAGCAUAAAAAGUCCAUCACACCUUUAUUAGGACUGACCAGUAUAGUGAAAUCAUCUGUUACGUGUCUGUGUCCCCCACUCCGCCUGGGAGCUCAUUUAAGGAUGGAACCCUCACCCAUUAUAUUUAUUUCUGAAUCUCUCAGCUUAGGCCAGGGCAGACAUAGGAGCCCAGAAAAUAUUUAUUGGGUUGAUUGACUUGAACUGGGUAUUGAAGGAUAGGCAGGAUUUAGAUAUAUCAUGAGGAGAUUUAGGAAUCGUAAGAAAAGUCUCCAAAGAAACACUGCCGUUGUAGAGGAUAGAGGCACAAUGAAUAUGUCCUGGGGUAGGUAAAGAAGCAGGGACACAGUGCUAAUGACAUCCAGUUUCAGGCCAAACUCUGCCCCUGUCUCCUGGGCCGCCUCAGGAAAGUCUUCCAAGGUUGAGGUGGAAUUGUUUUGUUCUUCCUAGAGAUCUUUCUCACGGCAGAGAUCCUUCCUGGAUGGCUUUAAACUACCCACACCAGGCUCUCCCAUCUGUUCUAGGCCCAUUCUGCCUCAAAUUGUAAUUAAAUCUUCAUUGUGUAUUUUGUUCUUCGUUUUUCAACUUUCUUUGGCUCCCCUAUCAUUUCCAGGAUGAGGUUCCAGUUUGCAACUCUGGAUAUACUGAGCUCUUUCCUGGUCCUACAUCUUUGUUCUUUCUGUUCAUCUGGCCUGAGAUGCCUCUUUUCUUCCAUCUCAGCAAACUGCACUUUGCCUAUAAGGUAUUAAUGAAUGUCACACUUAGCAAUGCAUGUGGUAACUUCUAGGGAGAUGACUACAAUAAUAUAAAAAGGAGAAUUUAAUUUCUAAACUGGUACAGGAGGAGAAACUAAGUAAUGUAAAAGAAUGUUAAGAAAACAGGGAUUUACAUGAAAACAAGCAGUUGAAAAGAGGGUUAUCAUCAUCAGUUAUUAGGGAAAUGUUUACAAAAACCUCAAUGAGGUGUAACUUUAUAGCGCCUAAGAUGGCUAUAAUAAUAAUAAUAAAAGGAAAAUAGCAAGUGUUGGCAAGGGUGUGGAAAAGUGUAACCCUCACCCACUGCUAGCAGUAAUGUAAAAGAGUGCAGCCACUUUGGAAAACAGUCUGGUAGUUCCUCACAUAAUUAAACACACAGUUACGAAAGACCCCAUAAAUCCACUCCUAGGUAUAAACACAGGAGAAUUGAAAACAUACAUCCAUAAAAAACUUGUACAUCAAUGUCCAUAGCAGUAUUAUUCAUAGUGGCCACAAGGUAGAAACUCAAAUGUCAUUCAACUUUUGACCGUAUACAUGAAAUAUGGCUUAUCCACAAAAUGGAAUAUUAUUCUAUCAUAAAAUGGAAUGAAGUUCUGUUAGGUGCUACAACAGGGAAGAACCUUGAAAACAUUAUGUUAACUGAAAUAAUUCAGACACAAAGGCCACAUAUUGUAUGAUUCCAUUUAUAGGUGAUGUCCAGAUAGGCAAAUCCAUUGAGAUAAAAAGUAGAUUAGUAGUUGCCAGGGGCUGGGGUGAGGGAAGAUGGGGAAUGACUGCUAAUGAUCUGGGAUUUCUUUUUGGGUAACGAAAAUCUUUUGGAAUUAGGUAGUAGUGAUAGCUGCACAACUUUGUGAAUAUAAUUGACCCUUGAACAACACAGGUGUUUUAAGGGGUGCUAACCCCCUAUAGUCCAAAAUCCAAGUAAAACUUUUGACUCCUCAAAACCAUAGCUACUAAGAGCCUACUGUUGAGCAGAAACCUUACUGAUAACAUAAACAGUUGAUGAACACAUAUUUUAUAUGUGCUAUAUAUUACAUAUUGUAUUCUUAUAAUAAAAUAAGCUGGAGAAAAGAAUAAGUUCUUAAGGACAUCAUAAAGAAGAAAAAAUACAUUUACAGUGCUGUAUUGUAUUUAUUGAAAAAAAUUCUCUUACAAGUGAGCAUACCCCAAGGGUGCCUGGAUGGCUUAGUGGGUUGAGUGUCUAACUCUUGGUUUUGGCUCAGGUCAUAAUUUCGGGGUCAUGAGUUGAAGUCCUAUGUCAGGCUCCCUGAUCAGCAGGGAGUCUACUCUAGAUUCUCUUCCUCUCCCUCUGCUCCUCCCACUGCUCAUGCUCGCUCUAAUAAAUAAAUCUUUAAAAAAUAAGUGAACCUGCCCAGUUAAAAUCCAUGUCAUUCUAGGGUCAACUAUAUUAAAUUCUCUGGAAUCAUAUACUUUAAAUGGGUAAAUAUUGGGACGCCUCACUGGCUCAGCAGUUUAGCGCCUGCCUUCAGCCCAGGGCAUGAUCCUGGAGUCCUGGUAUUGAGUCCCACGUCGGGCUCCCUGCAUGGAGCCUGCUUCUCCCUCUGCCUAUGUCUCUGCCUCUCUCUCUCUCUCUGUGUCUCUCAUGAAUUAAUAAAUAAACUCUUUUAAAAAAUGGGUAAAUAUUAUAUUAUGUGAGUUAUAUCUCAAUUUUUUAAAAAUCUGGCAGGACUGAGACUCAAAAGAAAAUGGAAGUUAUUACUAUUACAAAAGAACUAAAAUUAAAAAAAAAGAAUAAAGGAAAGAAACAGAAAUGGAACAGAUUGGACAAAUUAGAAAAUGCUAGAUAAAACCCUGAAUAUACCAGUAAAUUCUUUAAAUGCAAUAGACUAAAUGCUCUAGUUCAAAGUCAAAUGUAUUCACACAAGAUUUAUGAAAAUCUAAUUGUAUGUUAUUUAUAAACAUUAUCCUUCCUUAUCAAGUUGUAGGAAAAAGAGGAAGGAAAUCAACCUUUACUAGGUACUUACUGUGUGUCAAACAUGUGCCCAGUUCUUUGCAAAUUCCCUUAUUUGACCUUUACAAGACCUUACAACAUGGGAAUUUUUCUGCCCAUUUUAUAGAUAAGGGAAGUGGGUCACAGAACAGUUAAAUAUUUGUGCGAGGUCUAAAAAGUAGCAAGACAUACUUAGCUGUUUAACUCCAAAUCUGACACUCUUUCCAAUGUACCACUUAAGAAAUCUAGACCAUCACUCUGAAAGACAAAGUCUCUUGCUCUUCCCUGAUUCUGUAGUCUUUAUGAGUCCUGUCUCCUCCCUGAGGACCAAUGUUUCAAAGCUGCAUAGGGUGAGCUCUCACAGCAUGUAUGUGAGAGACUGGAGGGUUCCUAGCACAGAGCUGGACUUUCCUUUGUUUUGUCUCUCUUGGCCAGAGCAGAGUGUUGAGCUUUGGACAUCUCUGGGAUCCUGAUGCCCAGGAGAGGGCUUGGUUCAGCAAACUUGUGAGCACGCACCAAAUUCCUUUUCUUUAGAAGGGAAGAAGGAAGAUGAUGAUAAUCAAAAAGGCAUUAUGAGAAUUAGGCAGAGUAAGAGUAUAUUGUCUACAAAGUCCUUUCUAGGGCAGAAGUACCCAGGAAUGAUGAACUUAAUAACCAUAUGCCUACCACAGUAAGCAUAUGCAGAGAAGUCUUUCUGCAUAGAAAUCAUCAGAAGGGAUCCCUGGGUGGCGCAGCGGUUUGGCACCUGCCUUUGGCCCAGGGCGCGAUCCUGGAGACCCGGGAUCGAAUCCCACAUCGGGCUCCCGGUGCAUGGAGCCUGCUUCUCCCUCUGACUAUGUCUCUGCCUCUCUCUCUCUCUCUCUGUGACUAUCAUAAAUAAAAAAUAAAAAAAAAAAAAA
This 3882-nucleotide long non-coding RNA is filed under the name Canis lupus familiaris (dog). RNAcentral describes it as "lncRNA (ENSCAFG00845011449.1)". The record is from RNAcentral. Lineage: Eukaryota; Metazoa; Chordata; Mammalia; Carnivora; Canidae.